Molecule: ribosomal RNA, 400 nt
Filed under: uncultured bacterium
Lineage: Bacteria
Description: bacterial SSU rRNA
Rfam family: Bacterial small subunit ribosomal RNA
Source: RNAcentral
UAAGGAAUAUUGGUCAAUGGACGCAAGUCUGAACCAGCCAUGCCGCGUGAAGGAUGAAGGUCCUCUGGAUUGUAAACUUCUUUUAUCUGGGACGAUAAUGACGGUAGCGGGAGAAGAAGCCCCGGCUAACUCCGUGCCAGCAGCCGCGGUAAUACGGAGGGGGCUAGCGUUGUUCGGAAUUACUGGGCGUAAAGCGUACGUAGGCGGAUGCGCAAGUUGGGGGUGAAAUCCCGGGGCUUAACCUCGGAAUUGCCCUCAAAACUGCACGUCUUGAGACCGAGAGAGGUAAGGGGAAUUCCUAGUGUAGAGGUGAAAUUCGUAGAUAUUAGGAAGAACACCAGUGGCGAAGGCGCCUUACUGGCUCGGUACUGACGCUGAGGUACGAAAGCGUGGGGAGCAA